RNAcentral lists this unclassified non-coding RNA (222 nucleotides) under Hevea brasiliensis (rubber tree). Lineage: Eukaryota; Viridiplantae; Streptophyta; Magnoliopsida; Malpighiales; Euphorbiaceae. The record is from RNAcentral.
GUCGAGGAGCAGCUUCCCCGCCUCCCGACUCUGCUGCGGACCUGAGCCCCAGGCGGCGAAAGCCGUUUUGUUGCGUGCGUUCGUCCCGUCCUCACUCCCGGGGAGGCGGAGGGGAUCCAGAGACGGCCGGGGAACCCAGCGCGGUAGCUGCCGGAGACACGUCAACUCGCAACCAAAACGGGAAAACCGAACAAUGUGGCCCAGGACAUCCCGCGGGGCACG